This 767-nucleotide ribosomal RNA is filed under the name uncultured marine group I thaumarchaeote. RNAcentral describes it as "SSU rRNA". It matches the Rfam family "Archaeal small subunit ribosomal RNA", at positions 139 to 906 of the family's 1478-position model. The record is from RNAcentral. Lineage: Archaea; Thermoproteati; Nitrososphaerota.
ACUGGGCAUAAUUCUUGAUAGAUCAUAAUGCCUGGAAUGGUUUAUGGUUAAAAUGAUUCGUCGCCAUAGGAUGGGACUGCGGCCUAUCAGCUUGUUGGUGAGGUAAUGGCCCACCAAGGCGAUUACAGGUACGGGCUCUGAGAGGAGAAGCCCGGAGAUGGGUACUGAGACACGGACCCAGGCCCUAUGGGGCGCAGCAGGCGAGAAAACUUUGCAAUGUGCGAAAGCACGACAAGGUUAAUCCGAGUGAUUUCUGCUAAAGAAAUCUUUUGCCAGUCAUAAAACCACUGGUGAAUAAGGGGUGGGCAAGUUCUGGUGUCCGCCGCCGCGGUAAAACCAGCACCUCAAGUGGUCAGGAUGAUUAUUGGGCCUAAAGCAUCCGUAGCCGGCUUUGUAAGUUUUCGGUUAAAUCCAUGUGCUCAACGCAUGGGCUGCCGAAAAUACUGCAUGGCUAGGGAGUGGGAGAGGUAGACGGUACUCAGUAGGAAGGGGUAAAAUCCUUUGAUCUAUUGAUGACCACCUGUGGCGAAGGCGGUCUACCAGAACACGUUCGACGGUGAGGGAUGAAAGCUGGGGGAGCAAACCGGAUUAGAUACCCGGGUAGUCCCAGCUGUAAACGAUGCAGACUCGACGAUGCAUUGGCAUAAUAGCCAGUGCAGUGUCGCAGGGAAGCCGUUAAGUCUGCCGCCUGGGAAGUACGUACGCAAGUAUGAAACUUAAAGGAAUUGGCGGGGGAGCACCACAAGGGGUGAAGCCUGCGGUUCAAU